AGAAAACCAUGAAAGCAGGCUGAGAAUCCUGCAAGAUGUUCAAGUCAGGAUUUACAACACAGCUUAAUCCACAGAGAGUAUGGGUGACCUGAGACCAGUUCGGUGAGGACCUCAGUGAAGAUUGGGUUGGAUAACAAAAACCUGGAGCAGGAGGACACGUGGCCUGGAACACAAGAGGAGGAAAACAUGUGAGUUAAGGAGACCAAGGACUCGAAAGCCACCAGUGGGAGAAAAGAAACAUCUGUGUCGACCUGAAUGAUAUUUUAUAAUGUUAUAAUCGUUUUAAAAAUAUGUAUUUU
Molecule: long non-coding RNA, 299 nt
Organism: Clarias gariepinus (North African catfish)
Lineage: Eukaryota; Metazoa; Chordata; Actinopteri; Siluriformes; Clariidae
Exons: 3
Source: RefSeq, a predicted model, not a curated record